GAUGAACGCUGGCGGCGUGCUUAACACAUGCAAGUCGAACGGAAAGGCCCUGCUUUUGUGGGGUGCUCGAGUGGCGAACGGGUGAGUAACACGUGAGUAACCUGCCCUUGACUUUGGGAUAACUUCAGGAAACUGGGGCUAAUACCGGAUAGGAGCUCCUGCUGCAUGGUGGGGGUUGGAAAGUUUCGGCGGUUGGGGAUGGACUCGCGGCUUAUCAGCUUGUUGGUGGGGUAGUGGCUUACCAAGGCUUUGACGGGUAGCCGGGCUGAGAGGGUGACCGGCCACAUGGGGACUGAGAUGCGGCACAGACUCCUACGGGAGGCAGCAGUGGGGAAUAUUGCACAAUGGGCGGAAGCCUGAUGCAGCAACACCGCGUGCGGGAUGACGGCCUUCGGGUUGUAAACCGCUUUCGCCUGUGACGAAGCGUGAGUGACGGUAAUGGGUAAAGAAGCACCGGCUAACUACGUG
This 468-nucleotide ribosomal RNA is filed under the name uncultured bacterium. Its description in RNAcentral is "partial 16S ribosomal RNA". It matches the Rfam family "Bacterial small subunit ribosomal RNA", at positions 28 to 507 of the family's 1533-position model. The record is from RNAcentral.